UUUAACAUUUCUAUUUUUCCACCAAAAAUGUUCAAAGAUUUCCCAAAAAUGUGGACAUCAGAAGUUUCACUGUGAAAAUAUAUUUUUUCCCUACAUUUUCAAACUUUAACACGAGUCAAUUUGACCCACAGGAAGACAGGAGGGUUCAACUUAUUUUUAGUUUUCUUGUAAAACUCAACUCAAAACAAGAUAAUUUCAAGAUUUAACAAGAUAUUUAAGAUGCAUUGUCGUAAAACAAGCCCCUUUAUCUUGCUGAAAUGUCACCUGUUAAGUGAAUUUAUCUUAAAUCAAAGGGGAUGAGACAUUCUGACUAAAAAUAAGACAAACAGACGGUAAGAUUUCUAGUUUUUGCGGUGUGUAGGUGUGGAUGACUUAUCAGACACAAGUGUCCUGAUAAAGUCGAGCUGAUUAUGACCAGCUGGAUGCUUUAUCAUGUGAGAGGAGAAAGAAAGAUAGCCUCUCCUGCAUAUUGAUUUAUGUCUUCCCUCUGAUGUAUUUCCAUCCAGUGAGUGACUGACGGAUUUCAUCUCUUUUAAAAGCCAGUCGGGUGCGACCAGAAGCAGCGACCCGAGGCCAGAGGUCAGUCAGACCCACCGUGGCCGCCUGCCAGCUUUGUACUUCUGCCAGGACUGGAUCAAUUACUGGCCUGGAUUCCUGGAAAACCACAAACGGGCCUUUGGGGGAGGAACCUGGAGGCGUUCACGGGCCGUUCGCUCACCCACACAUGUCAAUGAGAGCUAUGAUUGAUGUGUUCCAGAUAAGGUGUACAGCUGUGAAGCAGCACAGACCGAGAUAUGUUUGUAGUUUUGACACAAACACAACAAACAAAAUACACAACUUUGUAUAUUACAGUGAUUAGAAGCACUUCCUAUAAUCCUUUCGUUGUAAGCAAACACUUGUCUGUUAUUUUCAACAUGUUGCAACAUCCAUUAUUAUCAUUUCUUGCUUUGUGUUUUGCAGUGUGUUUAGGAUUUAAUGCAGCUGUAAUCAGCAUUCUUCCAAUAACAACAUUCUGGGAGUCACUUGGUGGUCAGCAGGCAGACUCAGGGGGCUUACUGAGUGCAAAAGAGUUUGAGCUUUAUCCUGUCCCCGGCUGGUCGAGGCAGACGUCUUCCCUCUCUGUUCCUGGCUCUGCUGGAGAUUUCUUUCUUUAAAAAAGCAGUCAUCUGUCCUGAUGUCUCAGCUGAUCAUCUCCACCUCUUCAUUCACCUGUUCAGUCCCACCAGCAUAAACACCAGCAGGUGAGUUCAUGGAGCAACAGUUCAAAACCCAUUCGCCUGCUUCUGCCAAUCUGUGCGGAUGGUCACAUUGUCCUGGAACAAAGGAUUACCACAGACCUGACCGUGAACACAGUUGACACCCACUUGAGGGAGACGCUGCCUAAGAUCUCCAGGCUGUUUGGUCGUGGUCUCUCUGGUCCUGCUCUAGAACGCCUUCAUCAACUGUGUCUUCUUUUGAAGAGACCCUCAUAUGCUGCAAUCUCUAACCUUAAGGAGGAACUGCUACUUUCACUCUGUAACGAGACGACGGUUAUUUUAAAGACCCAGCUCCUGGCGGCUUUGAGUGAAAAUAUAACAUCCAUCAAAACGGAACUAUGUGAAGACACAUUGAAAUUACUGCAUUAAAUCAAAUUGAUGUGAAAAAUGAACUGUUACUCCUUUUAUUAACUUGAAUUUAUUUGUGUUAUUUUUCCAUCCAUCAUAACAGAUUCACACCUGUGCUACCUGGGCUUCCUGCCUAUCAAGAUGACCCUAAAAUCCGUGAAUACUGGAGUCCAAUCCAAUAUCUUUUCACAGUACAUCAAUGACAAAACCUUUGAGUAUCUAGCAACUUUUACAAAUCAAAGACAGCUGCAAACUAGAGGAGUGUCACUGAAUACCACUGCCCAAGAAAUCAACAUUUUCUUCAGCAUAUCAGUACACAUGGCCUGCCUUGGCUAU
This is a long non-coding RNA of Acanthochromis polyacanthus (spiny chromis), 1940 nucleotides long. RefSeq lists it as uncharacterized. NCBI's taxonomy places the organism in Eukaryota, Metazoa, Chordata, Actinopteri, Pomacentridae. The record is from RefSeq and is a predicted model, not a curated record. The transcript has 5 exons.